Molecule: ribosomal RNA, 386 nt
Filed under: uncultured bacterium
Lineage: Bacteria
Description: bacterial SSU rRNA
Rfam family: Bacterial small subunit ribosomal RNA
Source: RNAcentral
GACGAACGCUGGCGGCGUGCUUAACACAUGCAAGUCGAGCGGUAAGGCCCUUUCGGGGGUACGACGAGCGGCGAACGGGUGAGUAACACGUGGGUGACCUGCCCUCAGCUCUGGGAUAAGCCUGGGAAACCGGGUCUAAUACCGGAUAUGACUCCAUGACGCAUGUUGUGGGGUGGAAAGCCUUGUGCGGCUGAGGAUGGGCCCGCGGCCUAUCAGCUUGUUGGUGGGGUGAGGCCUACCAAGGCGACGACGGGUAGCCGGCCUGAGAGGGCGACCGGCCACACUGGGACUGAGACACGGCCCAGACUCCUACGGGAGGCAGCAGUGGGGAAUAUUGGACAAUGGGCGCAAGCCUGAUCCAGCGAUGCCGCGUGUGUGAAGAAGCC